Molecule: long non-coding RNA, 2774 nt
Organism: Eriocheir sinensis (Chinese mitten crab)
Lineage: Eukaryota; Metazoa; Arthropoda; Malacostraca; Decapoda; Varunidae
Exons: 7
Source: RefSeq, a predicted model, not a curated record
CUGCAUUUCCCUUUUCACUUCUGCCGUAAAAUUUCCUCACAUACUGCAAUAACCUCUCUUCCCAUUUAAGUGCUUUCUUCCUCUUAACACCUAGCUACCACGUCUUGUGCAAAUGCACCUUCCUAGUCAGUUAACUUAUUCUUUUCAUUUAAUCAAGUCAUCUCUGUGCAAUAUGUGUGACCCCUCGCCCAGCGACACUCUUUCGUUCCCUUUCUUAAAUCACCUUCUGCUCUUCCAUACUUCUGUAGGACUGAACCACAGUAAUUCAAUUUCCUGUUCUCCUGUCACUUAUCUUAAGGCGGCUUUACGCCUGGCAAUUCCUAGUCGGCAAUACAGGCGCAGCUGCAUUUUUGGUCUGGGUCAUGGUCUGGGAGCCCUUCUUGCAGCAUGUUUUCUGCAGCUGAGCGCGUCCGUCUUGUAUUGCCGACUGGCGGCUGAGCACAACAUGUCGGCGCCAAUAAAACAAGAAAUGACAGAUACAGACAACAAGAUUUGGAGCCGGGAGGCCGAGGUGGUGUUACUAGAAGAAGUGAGGCAGCAUAGAUACUUGUGGGAGCCACAAGAUAAGCUGUAUGAGAAGCUGAGUCUACGCAAAACAACUUUUGAGAGAGUGGCAGCAACAUCCGAGAAAUGUUUAUCUCUUUGCGAGAUAUCGAAGGAGCAGUUUACGUCUUGAUGCUCCCGGCGGCUCCUCCCACGUGUGAACGUACUUGAUCCCGAGAGCACCCAGCUGGUCUAGCCGCUAGAUCGUCGCGGCUGUAUUGCCGGCCAGGAAUUGCCAGGUGUAAAGCCGCCUUUAGUCUGUGAUUCACUGAAGUUUAUAAGGAUGUGGAAAAGAUCGGCGUGGCUGGAGGGCAAAAAAGAAGAGGAGUGUGUGGUACCAUCUACCUGGAUAGUUGAAGGCAGCCAGAUUUUAUAUUGGCCAUCAAAAGUUGAUGCUCACAAUGCCCUAACUAGUCGAGAAGACCCAGACCCCAGAUCAUGGAGAAAAUUUCCAUUGAUAAAAGUAAAAAUAGCUUCUGACAGUUACGAGGAAUGUGAGACAUCAGCAGUAGACAGUGACAGAAGCAGCAGUGACCUGGAUGGGGAAGACGGUUUGGCCUUGCGUGGUAGGAAGAAACGUAUGAAGAAAGCUCUGCCAAAGGACUUUAUUAGUAGUCAGGAUUUGGAUUGUCCACACUUUGCCUCAGGGCCAUCUUUACAAGUAACAGUUGCUCCCCCCACCACAAAAGGUUGUCCCACACAACCAUCAACACAAAGGCUUGCCAAGUGCAGCAAGAAACAAAUCUGAAAAGACAUAAUUCUGACAGAUGUGAAAGUAACCGGCAAAAGAAGAGUAGUUACCAACAGCAAGAUGAAGGCAGUCAGCCUGAUACCCUACACAAAAGACAUGACAGUCGUGGCUGACGCAGCAGACAUGACAGUCAUGACCAACACAACAGACAUGACAGCAGUGACCGAUGCAGCAGGCAUGACAGUCAUGACCGACACAACAGACGUGACAGUCAUGACCGACAUGACAGCAGUGACCGACGCAGCAGGCAUUUCAGUCGUGACCGACACAACAGACAUGACAGUCGUGACCGACACAACAGACAUGACAACAGUGACCAACGCAGCAGACAUGGCAGCAGUGACCGACAAGGGAGCGAUUGGAUUCAGAAUCUGUCUAGUGAAGACCUUGAUGAUGUUCAACCCUUGAACCAGGAGAAAACCGUCAGAGUGGAUUUCCUAUGGACUGGGCAAAAUUCCAGAGGCGAGUCAUUCAUUUGUUGCUGGAUAUGAGGACCUCUUUGCAUACUCUUACUGGCUCUACACCAAGUGACAAUGAUAUAUCAAUUCAACAGCUGGACUCUAUGGAGGAUGCAGAGGCAUUUGAAAAUGAAUAGUGAACACCCUCUUUUAGCAAAGAAAUGACAGAAAAAUUUGUCCACAUAGGUGGAAUUUCAGUGAAGGAUAUGAUAUCAAAGGUAUUGUGCAGCAUUAUGUCGAAGGAGUUGAUGUGUAAGUACAACAUGUAUGGACAACGGGGCAAAGUAGCUUUGAAAAAUACAAGAUUGUGCAGUGUCAUCACAGACUGUUAUGAAGAAAUUCAGAGAUGUGAGUUUAACAGAAAUACAGAAGGUGAUUGCAACAAACUUGUGUAAUGCCCCAAAAAUGAAGUAAAGUGGAAACUAAAUCAUGUAGGGUAGCGGGCAAAUAGUGAUGCUGGGUCGGGAUACAAUAAAAUCAGGUAACCAGACAUUUUUUAGGGUUUUGGCCUAUAAAUUCUUGUAGAACUACACUAUUUGAAACCUGUCCUUACUGUGAAAACUGUUCUAUGAUCUGUCCAACAGUUUGGUUAGACUCAGGAAAACUGUUGAUACCCACAUUUUUAUUCCAGGUACGGUGUGCAAAAAAAUGUAGCAACAAGAUGUGUGUAUUCUCAAAGCAUGAACAGAAAUUUGUAUUAGUAAUUAAGAGCCACACCUGUAAUAUCAAGGCAUACUGUGUAGAACAGUCCUUGAGUUAGGGCUGAGGAGGUAAAACUAAAAUCUGAAAUCUGCCACAAAAUGGUUGUUGAUAAUGAAACUGGCUUUAUAAUGCUACCCAAGAGCUCAGCUGUAGUCAGAGUCAUGGUAAUUUUACUGCCUCCUGCCUCCUUUCACCCACUAUUGCUGUGACUUGACUGCAGGCCUGCCAUGAAUACCAGCAAAUUGUGAAAAUGAUGAUGUACAGUAUUGUAUUGUGGCUUCUCUUUCUCCUGAUGGAUAUUAAAUUUACAUAGUAUUAUA